Molecule: ribosomal RNA, 459 nt
Filed under: uncultured bacterium
Lineage: Bacteria
Description: partial 16S ribosomal RNA
Rfam family: Bacterial small subunit ribosomal RNA
Source: RNAcentral
CCUACGGGUGGCAGCAGUGAGGAAUAUUGGUCAAUGGGCGCGAGCCUGAACCAGCCAAGUCGCGUGCGGGAAGACGGUCCUAUGGUUUGUAAACCUCUUUUGUCGGGGCGCAAAAGACGCCACGCGUGGCGUUCCGAGAGUACCCGAAUCAAAAGCAUCGGCUAACUCCGUGCCCGAAGCCGCGGUAAUACGGAGGAUGCGAGCGUUAUCCGGAUUUAUUGGGUUUAAAGGGUGCGCAGUCGGACGAUCAAUGAAGCGGGAAAAUUGAGAGGCUCAACCACUUCGAGCAGUUGAAACUGGUUUUCGUGAGUGAGUGAGAAGGAUGGGGAAUGCGUGGUGUAGCGGUGAAAUGCAUAGAUAUAACGCAGAACUCCGAUGGCGAAGGCAGCAUACCGGCGCUGAACUGACGCUCAUGCACGAAAGUGUGGGUAUCGAACAGGAUUAGAUACCCCAGUAGUC